AUACGGAGGUUGCAAGCGUUAAUCGGAAUUACUGGGCGUAAAGCGUACGUAGGCGGUCCGUUAAGUUAGAUGUGAAAGCCCCGGGCUUAACCUGGGAACUGCAUUUAAAACUGGCGGACUAGAGUUGAGUAGAGGGGAGUGGAAUUUCAGGUGUAGCGGUGAAAUGCGUAGAGAUCUGAAGGAACACCAGUGGCGAAGGCGACUCCCUGGACUCGAACUGACGCUGAGGUACGAAAGCGUGGGUAGCAAACGGGAUUAGAAACCCCUGUAGUCC
Molecule: ribosomal RNA, 274 nt
Filed under: uncultured bacterium
Lineage: Bacteria
Description: partial 16S ribosomal RNA
Rfam family: Bacterial small subunit ribosomal RNA
Source: RNAcentral